This 85-nucleotide non-coding RNA is filed under the name Bacillus sp. UNCCL13. RNAcentral's name for it is "GEMM cis-regulatory element". It matches the Rfam family "c-di-GMP-I riboswitch aptamer". From Rfam's summary of the family: GEMM was predicted in a large-scale screen for bacterial structured RNA regulatory elements. RNAcentral also lists the same sequence under 1 other name. Lineage: Bacteria; Bacillati; Bacillota; Bacilli; Caryophanales; Bacillaceae. The record is from RNAcentral.
CUACGAUAAUGGCAAACUCGUUGAAAGGCGAGGACGCAAAGCUAUGGGUCUAAGGGUGUUCACCUAUGACUGCCAGGUUGCCGAA